GAUGAACGCCGGCGGUGUGCCUAAUACAUGCAAGUCGAACGCGUUGGCCCAAUUGAUUGAUGGUGCUUGCACCUGAUUGAUUUUGGUCGCCAACGAGUGGCGGACGGGUGAGUAACACGUAGGUAACCUGCCCAGAAGCGGGGGACAACAUUUGGAAACAGAUGCUAAUACCGCAUAACAGCGUUGUUCGCAUGAACAACGCUUAAAAGAUGGCUUCUCGCCAUCACUUCUGGAUGGACCUGCGGUGCAUUAGCUUGUUGGUGGGGUAACGGCCUACCAAGGCGAUGAUGCAUAGCCGAGUUGAGAGACUGAUCGGCCACAAUGGGACUGAGACACGGCCCAUACUCCUACGGGAGGCAGCAGUAGGGAAUCUUCCACAAUGGGCGCAAGCCUGAUGGAGCAACACCGCGUGAGUGAAGAAGGGUUUCGGCUCGUAAAGCUCUGUUGUUAAAGAAGAACACGUAUGAGAGUAACUGUUCAUACGUUGACGGUAUUUAACCAGAAAGUCACGGCUAACUACGUGCCAGCAGCCGCGGUAAUACGUAGGUGGCAAGCGUUAUCCGGAUUUAUUGGGCGUAAAGAGAGUGCAGGCGGUUUUCUAAGUCUGAUGUGAAAGCCUUCGGCUUAACCGGAGAAGUGCAUCGGAAACUGGAUAACUUGAGUGCAGAAGAGGGUAGUGGAACUCCAUGUGUAGCGGUGGAAUGCGUAGAUAUAUGGAAGAACACCAGUGGCGAAGGCGGCUACCUGGUCUGCACUGACGCUGAGACUCGAAAGCAUGGGUAGCGAACAGG
Molecule: ribosomal RNA, 791 nt
Filed under: uncultured Lactobacillus sp.
Lineage: Bacteria; Bacillati; Bacillota; Bacilli; Lactobacillales; Lactobacillaceae
Description: bacterial SSU rRNA
Rfam family: Bacterial small subunit ribosomal RNA
Source: RNAcentral